This 627-nucleotide ribosomal RNA is filed under the name uncultured Russulaceae. RNAcentral's name for it is "LSU rRNA". It matches the Rfam family "Eukaryotic large subunit ribosomal RNA", at positions 47 to 649 of the family's 3401-position model. The record is from RNAcentral. Lineage: Eukaryota; Fungi; Basidiomycota; Agaricomycetes; Russulales; Russulaceae.
UAAGCGGAGGAAAAGAAACUAACAAGGAUUCCCCUAGUAACUGCGAGUGAAGCGGGAAAAGCUCAAAUUUAAAAUCUGGCGGUCUUUGGCCGUCCGAGUUGUAAUUUAGAGAAGCGUCUUCCGCGCUGGACCGUGCACAAGUCUCCUGGAAUGGAGCGUCAUAGAGGGUGAGAAUCCCGUCUUUGGCACGGAUGCCUGGUGCUUCUGUGAUGCGCUCUCGAAGAGUCGAGUUGUUUGGGAAUGCAGCUCAAAAUGGGUGGUGAACUCCAUCUAAAGCUAAAUAUUGGCGAGAGACCGAUAGCGAACAAGUACCGUGAGGGAAAGAUGAAAAGCACUUUGGAAAGAGAGUGAAACAGUACGCGAAAUUGUUGAAAGGGAAACGCUUGAAGUCAGUCGCGUCGACCGAGACUCAGCCUUGCCUUGGCUUGGUGUACUUCUCGGCCCGACGGGUCAGCAUCAAUUUUGCCCCUCGGAUAAUGGCAAGGGAAAGGUGGCACCUUUACGGGUGUGUUAUAGUCUCCUGUCGAAUGCGAGGGGUGGGAUUGAGGAACUCAGCGCGCACCUCAGUGUCGGGGCUUCGGCCCACGUCACGCGCUUAGGAUGCUGGCGUAAUGGCUUUAAACGACC